RNA transcript from Onychostoma macrolepis, 489 nucleotides. It is a transcript of the gene named calsenilin-like, with no coding region annotated. The transcript has 3 exons. The record is from RefSeq and is a predicted model, not a curated record. Lineage: Eukaryota; Metazoa; Chordata; Actinopteri; Cypriniformes; Cyprinidae.
AGAAGCUUGGGCAUUCCCUCACAUUCCACUUGACAGAUCUGCGCGGUGAAGCUGCUGCUCCUGUAGUGAGUGGAAGAAAGACAUUUCUCCUCAGCGCUUGAGGAGGAUUCAUCACAAGAACACAAUGCAGGAGGAUGGCAAGGUGGUGGAUGGCAGUCUGCUGGGUGAUGCAAAUGGGGUGGAGCCUGGCACAGGCCGACAGAAGGAGAGCGGCAAAUGGCAGAGGCCUCGAUUCACACGGAAAGCCCUCAUGAGGUGCUGCCUGGUCAAGUGGAUCAUCGCCAGCACCGGACCCAAAGAGCAAGACAUCAACGUGUCCUGAUAUCAUAAUGAAAAAAGAAAAAGGUUGGGAAAAAAAGUACCAUAGUUUGGCGUAAACAUAAAUUAUUAUUUCUUAGACAUAAUACAUAAAACCUUCUGCAAAAACGGUCAUGUACAAUAUAAUAUUGUAAAUAUUGUAAAAACCUCAUGUAUUCCAGAUGUAAGGAA